CUCUCUUCAGCUCCUCAGGUGUGAGUGAUGCUGCCGAGUCUCGCCUCUGCUGCCUCUCAUGUGAGUCGAGCUGCCGAGUUGGAGAAGGAAGCUUUUUAAAAGAGGGGGCAUCAGGAGUGCACACCAAUCCAGCCCCUCUCUCCUCACCAUUGGCCGGUGAAAUGUAACAUCUGGGUCCCCCAUAUCAUAAUCCAAAAAAAGGUGAGGGUACGGUGGGGGUGGAGAGACACGCAUGCAGGGGGAGGAGGGGAGUGUGUGCUUGUAGCUGUGAUUACUGAAAAUAACAGGGUGUUUUCCUGUCCUUCUGAGCAGGAUCUCAUAAUUUCUUAUUUACAUUAUUAGUUGUAUUUUUUCUGCGUCUUUGUAACCCUCUUCUGCUGCAGUGAAGUUAUAUUUAUCCACAGAGCAGGUGUGUUCGUGCAUGUUUCCAUUUUUGAAUACCUCUUUUGGUUUCCGUGACAGUCUUUCAAAACAUCAGAAUGCCCUUUUAAACACUUUUUGUUUCAUAUUUUCUCUUCAGUGAUUUUUUUUUCUCCCAAAAUUCAAAACAUGGGAAACUAUUUUGAAACAUUCAUUACUUUACCUCAAGAUUCUAUUAACUGUUUAUUCUGUGUUAAACAUGCAAAGACAUUUCUAAUUAUCUUCUGUAAACUGUUGUGUCCGUCUUUGGUCCCUCUUCAGUCUUUCUCUGUCUGAAUCUCUGUUUCCGUCUCCCCAACUGACACAGGACAGUGCCAGAUGCUGCGCUCCCUCUAGGUUCAACUUCUGGUUCAGUUUUGUAACUUUUUAACAGUUACUGAUUGCAGGGUGAUGUGCUGCCAAAGAGUGGAAGUGGCGUCAUAUGGCAUGCCAUUCAGGAAAAAGUCCUCGGAACGCAGACACGAGACGUGCUUAUGAGGUGCAAUGUACUCAGUGCUCAUUUGCAGCAUGUGAAUUGUUGCUAUUUAGCGACGACGCUUGUAAAAGCCAUGGAAAUUAAGAACAUUAAUUGCUUUCAGCUCUUUUAUUUCUCCCUCUUGGUUCUAGAUUUAAAAAAGGAGUGUUAAACAGCAACUUUUAGAAGAAUGACUUUCAAGAUAAGUGCAGCUUUUUAAAUGGACUCUGAGAUCAUUGCUUCUUGACAAAGAUUAAGUUAAAGUAAAUGUUUAAUUCAUUGUUGUGAAGGAAAUUUGGCAAUUUUUACUGUGUUUAGGGUCCGUGUAUAUUUUGGCAAUUGGAUUUUCCGUUCUGAAACGGGUAUUGAAAAACAAAAAAUGAGUGGUUAUUUGAUUUUUGUUUUAAAAUACAAAAAAUAAAAUUGAAAUACAAGGCGUUUUUCCUUUUCAUGAUCAAAAAGGGAUAUACGAAAUUUUAAAAAAUAUUUAGAACAACAAAAAAAUAAAAUCAGUAAGAGACAGAAACGAAAAAAGGUCCGUUUUUUCAUUUUCUGAGACCGGAAGUGGUCAUCAGCAAGCGUGGAGCCAAACGACAACAAGAUUGUCAGAGGGCGGAGCCAGAGAGCAGUGAUUGGUCAGACCAUAGAUAUCGAUAGAAGACAGCGCGCUAGCGGAUCUAGUCUGCUAUGUGUAUCUAUGGCCAGCACGUCUGGUAGCAUCUCUGGCUGCUGUUGACCUGGUUUUUGGAGUAAAACACAGUGGAAGCUGAAUUAGUGAGGAUGACUCCUGCUCCUGUCAUCUCUAAGCUCCUCACACAUCUUUACCUGCACAUGAGGAAAAUCACUCCUGUAGAAUGCAGAUGUUCAGAGGGAGAUGAUGCCACAUCUGGUCCAGCUGAUGGAAGGUCUUGAAGUUCUCUGACUGGCCUCGACUGAAGAUGGUCGUCUCACUGGAUUUAAGGUUCAGAUGCUCAGUAACAAACUCCACCAAUGAGCCAACAGGGAAGCUUUAGGUUUAUUGAAUGUUGCUAUGAAGGUUUCACAGUUUUUCUUUGUGAAUGCAAUGUGCUCCAACUGAAACUUGAAUUAGAACUUAGAAGUAAAUCCUUCCAUCUGAAAGGAUUUAGUUGCAUUAAUAACCCCAUAACAUUCUAAUUUUUAUUCCAGUCUUGGUUGGAAAUAGAAUCUCUGUAUUGAUUCAGGUAAAAACUGAACUUCACAGCAUGUUGGAGCAAAACAACCAGAUGAAAACUGUGAUGGUGUUGGAUUGUCAGACUGUAAUGUUGCAGCUCAAAGCAGCUUUUCUGUCUCAGUUCAUUCUGACAUUCAGCUAUGAAUCAACACAGCAGAUGGUGAUCCAUGCUGUGGAAGUCUCACAUCUCCUGAUUUAAUGGAGCUGCUUUGCACUUUUUACACUGUUUAUUCACCAACACUUUAUUUUAUAAAAGUUCCAUCUAGUUUUUAUGAGGAAUGUGAUGUUUUAAUUUCUCUGUGAAUAACUGCAGUCUAAUGGAAGAGCUGGAACUGUAACAUCUGUCCUGAUAUUGAUCAUGAAGUAUUGAUCAGAAUACUUAUGGUCAGCAGUCAUCCCUGAAGUUUUACAUUAAAAUCUUUACUUGUGUUGUGAACUUUGGUAAGAAGCAGAAACUUUAGCGUUGCCAUGGAUACAUGAGUGUUAAAUUCUGUCCAUGUUUCCAUUUUGGGAAAUGCAGUCCAGCAGAUGAGUUUGUUUUUACUGCCAGCUACAUUCAGUCUGAGAUAUUAAGAAUAAAUAAAUGUGCAUAAUGUGGAAAUGAACAGAUUCUAUUUUUAUUUAUUCCUACAGCUGCUGCACGUAAAGUUCCAGAAUGUGGAGGAAUUUAGUCUCACAAUCACAGACAAUAAAUAUUAUCUGAAAGUUGGGUUAUUGUUGUUUAUCAGCACAAUACAAAAAGAUUCAUGUUAGACAUAUUCCAGUUAAGACUCUAGAAUAUCAUGAUUUAUGUAAAUUUACCUGAAUAAUAUGAAUGUUCAGGUUAAGAUUGUGCAGUGAUAUUUAUUAUGUAAGUUUAGCUGAUUAAAGUUUGACUCUGUACUACAAUAUUGUUAUUAUUAUUAUUAUAAUUUACAUCAUUAUUAUAAUAUUUAGGGUCAGACCCUACAGUAUUGAGAUUAAGAAAUCAAACAUUCUAUAAAAUGUAAAUACACUGAACUCAUUUGGAUAUAUUUAAGUGAGACUCUACAAUAUUAUUUGACACAAAUCUAUCUAAAUCCAAAUUUUAAUCAUUUUUACUCCAAACAUUUACUGGACUGAUUUAAAUAUUAAAAUCACUCCUUUCUAAUCCUCUGCUGUCUGUUCAAACCUGAGGCCUUAAAUAGAAACACACAAGUAUCUGAUUGAAGGAACUUCUGCAGAGUCCUGGUUCCACAACAUGAUGAUAGAAUUAUAGACAAACUUUAACAAAAGCUGCCUGAGAGUUUACAGGUUUUUAUGUUAGAUUUCUUCAGUAAUUUAAUAAGAGUUAUCAGCAAAAAUCAAGUGUUCAUUUGAUGAACUUCAUUUCCUAAAACAUCCAGAAUUGGAGCUCAUAUCUUUGGCAGCUGUAAAGUUUCUGCUCCUUCAAAGUUCACAACACACUGAAUGAAUUCCUAAAACAUUCUCAAUGCUGGAGAGCGUUUGUGAUGCUGAAGCAGUGAUCAGUUUUUCUGUUUCUUCUCUGGAGAUGCACAAUGAGGGACGUCUGCAGAGACUGAGAAAGAGUCUCACCACAUCCUGACAUGAGGAAAAAGACUUUAUUGAAGACUACAAUGAGAAAAACUAUCAGACAGCAGACGGCUGCAUUCAAGGUGAGAUCUGAACAUUUGAUCUGGAACAGGAAUUCAAUAACGGCAGCAUGAGCUUCAUUUCAGUCUGUAGCUGCUGAAUUCAUGGAUGAAUCAUCUGGCACUAGAGAGGAAGACCAUCAAACAUCCAUGUCAGCUGAUGGAGGUCCAAGAGUCUCACCCAACAAACAACCUACAGAGUGAAGACCUCCAAUCUGAUUGGACGGCCUCCUAUUCAGCCACAUUUUAGGCUGUUAGAUUGUUCCAGAUAAGACGAGUACAAGAUUCUUCAGAGCCGUUCUACCACGAGCCUGACAGGAAGAACUCCAACAGCUACUGAAUGUUCCUGUGGUCCCCUCAAGGCUACAGGAGGAGUCCUACGAGGACGAGCCGGUCCACCUGAUGGCGGCCAGUCGCUGCGGUUCAAAGCCAACACCGACUACGUGGACUUCUACUGGACCACACGGAGGCCUUCAAACCGGACCAACAAGUUCAGCGACUCCCCGACUCGUGGGUCUGAGGACGCCGCCGAGCCUCGGUCCAGCCGGCCUCCUGUCUGUGGGUGUUUGAGUGCUGAGAGGUUUGUGGAUGCAUGUGAACGUUCUGUGUUGAAACAGCAGCUUUGGACUGAGUAACGCCAGGAAAAACCAAGAGCUCCUUUAUUUGUGACUUCCACUAAAAAAACUGAUGAAAAUAAGUUUGCCAGGGUUCUGACUGAUAACAGAUUAUUAGAUAAUGAAAAUAAUUGUUUAAAUAUUCCUUUAAACAAUCCUUUUAGGUCUACAUUUCCUUUACACUGAAUUCUUGGUAUAUGUACAAGUAUUUUGGGUGGAAUAUACCAUUAAGCCCAAUGUUCGAGGGUUCUGGGAAUAUACCAUUACACCAACCUUUUAGGUAAAUGUUCCAAAAUGUUGGGUAGAAGAUACUAUCAGAUCAACCUUUUAGGUCUACAUUGGAAGAUUUUAGAGUAGAAUAUUACUCCAAACUAUCCUUUAGGUCUACAUUUAAGGUGGAAUACUCCUUUACACCAAGAUUUUUUUGGUCCACAUUGAAGGACUUUAGGUGGAAUAUUCCUUUGAACGAACUUUUUAAGUUUAUGUUCAAGGAUGUUGGGUGGAAUAUACCAUCAGACCAACUUCCAAGGUCUACAGUAGUGAAUUUUAGGUGGAAUAUACCAUUAAACUCACCUUUUAGGUCGACAGUGGAGGAUUUUAGGUGGAAUUUUCUUCCAAACCAUCUUUUAGUCUACAUUUAAGGAUAUUUAGGAUGGUAUGUUCUUCCAAACCAACUUCUCAGGUCUACAUUUCAGGUGGAAUAUUCCUCCAUACUAACUUUUUUGGUCGACAUUGAAGGAUUUUUUCUAAACCACCCUAUGGGGUCUAUAUUUGAGGUUUUAGGUGGAAUAUUCCUUUUAACCAGCCCCUCAGGUCUCUUUGAGGAUUUUGGAUGGAAUACUCGGUUAAACCAACAUUUUAGGUGCAUGUCUAAGGAUUUUUGCUGGAAUGUUCCUUUAAGGUGGAUGUGUGAGGACCUUGUAGGUGGAAUACUUCCUGAAACCAACCUUUUAGGUCAACAUUCAAAGAUUUAAGGUGGAAUAUUCCUUUAAACCAACCUGAAUUUCAUGUUAUGAUCAUUAUCAAGUGAGAAACCUCAAUCCAGACUCCUCAUAAUGACGUUUGAGAUUUAUGCUGCUGUUAUUUACUUAGUCCAGACUAAAUGACAGAAAUCCACAACUGUAAUUUUAUUUCAGGACUCGGUUAUUAAAUGUCAAAACAAUCCAUGUGAUUCUAAAAACUCAACAGCUUUACAAACUCUAAGAUUAAACUCUCCACAAGGAUCCAAAAUAAGUUUGACUGCUACAUGAGGGCCUUAAUUAUUCUUCAUCUACUUCCUGAAAAGUUUGGUCAAUAAAAAAGACAAAAACUAAUAUUUUCAGCUGAACUAAAGAUAGACUUUGUGAUUUUUCUGCUCACAUGUUGUGUUUUUGUAAACUUCCUCUUUCAAAUAAAUAUCCUCCUAACCCCCUGGAAACCAGCGUUUGUCCUGUUUUUGUGUUGCUCCUCUGCGACCCUAGACAGCCGGGUCCUAAUGUUUUUUGAGCAACACACCAUACUAUGACGUUUUUACAAUGAUGGUUCUACUAUGGAACCAGUUUGACAUGUUCAGGUGUUCUUUGUGUGAAAACUCAGAGACUUCAGGUAUCAGAAGGUGGUUUUCAACUUUCUUUGUUAACUUUCUGCUUCCACUUUAAACUAAAUUUCCUUCACUAACCCAGCCCUCUGUACUUCCAGUAAGCUGUGUUCCUAUUGGCUGUCCAGGUGGCUGCUUGGUGUUAUCAGGAACACCUGAGCAGCUCAGUGUCUUCCUGCUUUAUUUAGCUGCAGACAAACAUUUCCUCUGUUUCUCUUCACCACUGAACCGGGUUUGGCUCCGUUGCUUUAGUUUCUUCUUUAGGCGUUGGCUUGCAGCUUCCAGCAGUAAAAUCGUCUUUAAUGUGUUUCGUGGUGUGUUUUAGGGCUUUGUACUGGAUAGUUGUCUUGGUAAAUGUGGUGCUAAUGUGUGCAGUGAUUAGUGGAUUUGGUGCAGCUGAGUUGUGUCUUUAUCUUGGCUGUAGUGAGUCUUCAGAGGUUUUUGGUCAGACACAUUCUGUAUUCUUGUUUGUGAACCAAGGUUGGUUGUCCAGAAGGUAAGAGUUCCUGUCCUGAUUCUCUGUUUAAAGAAGUUCUCUGGCAGGCUGCAGGAGACUUUAGUGUUUGGGUUGUGCUAGUUUGGUUUUUGUACAGUUUCAUUUGGACGACUAUCUUGAGGCUCCUCCAUGUGGUUUGGUGAGGUUUUCUGGAACAGUUCUACAAAGCAACCUGCAGCAGAAGAGACUUUGAGAGUUUUUAGGAAGUUCUGGAGAUCAGACUUCAGAGCAGCAGAAACAUUUGUCAGCAGUUUGAGCAGGAGAAGGUGAUCUUCAGAGUAGAAAUGAGACAGAAACCUUAUUGACCCGUGUGGUGAGGUCCUGUACCAAGAGUUUGAGCAGGUUGUGAAGAGUCUGUAGUUCUUUGGUCUGAAAGCACAAGAAGAAUCGACUCAUUAAAGGAGAAAACAGGAGAUAUUGUUGGUUCUUCUGUUGCUCUGCAGUUUCCCAGUUUCCUUAGACUGAAGAUCAAGUUUAUAUUUUAAGUGAUUUCUCACGUGAGCCCAGGAAGACUUCAAUAAACUCCCUCCAUCCCCUGGACACAACAUAUUUUAUUACCAUGUUAAAUCUUUUUUUAAAAAUAUAUUUUUGAGUUUUAAUCAUAGUUUUUUUUUUCUCUUUGCUUGUUUAGUUUUGUCAUCUGUGUGAAAGGUGCUAAACAAAUAAAGUUGAAUUGAUAAACUGAAUAAUUGACUAACUCAUGAUUGUGACAACAGAAGUAUUUUCAUUGUGAUUUAAGGGUUUGUUUCAUUUUUAAAGUUGGGCUUAAAA
Amphiprion ocellaris (clown anemonefish) is the source of this 7133-nucleotide long non-coding RNA. RefSeq lists it as uncharacterized. The record is from RefSeq and is a predicted model, not a curated record. NCBI's taxonomy places the organism in Eukaryota, Metazoa, Chordata, Actinopteri, Pomacentridae. The transcript has 4 exons.